GAUGAACGCUAGCGGGAGGCCUAACACAUGCAAGCCGAGCGGUAGAGUUUCUUCGGAAACUUGAGAGCGGCGCACGGGUGCGUAACACGUGUGCAACCUACCUUUAUCUGGGGGAUAGCCUUUCGAAAGGAAGAUUAAUACCCCAUAAUAUAAUGAUUGGCAUCAAUUAUUAUUGAAAACUCCGGUGGAUAGAGAUGGGCACGCGCAAGAUUAGAUAGUUGGUGAGGCAACGGCUCACCAAGUCAAUGAUCUUUAGGGGUCCUGAGAGGGAGAUCCCCCACACUGGUACUGAGACACGGACCAGACUCCUACGGGAGGCAGCAGUGAGGAAUAUUGAACAAUGGGUGAGAGCCUGAUCCAGCCAUCCCGCGUGAAGGAUGACGGUCCUAUGGAUUGUAAACUUCUUUUGUACAGGGAUAAACCUACACUCGUGAGGGUAGCUGAAGGUACUGUAAGAAUAAGCACCGGCUAACUCCGUG
RNAcentral lists this ribosomal RNA (479 nucleotides) under uncultured bacterium. Its description in RNAcentral is "partial 16S ribosomal RNA". It matches the Rfam family "Bacterial small subunit ribosomal RNA", at positions 28 to 507 of the family's 1533-position model. The record is from RNAcentral.